GAGGGCGGAAGCGGCCCCGGGGCAGGCUGGGAGAUGUAGUUCCUGACUCUCCCCGGAGCGGAAGUGUUGUCAGCGGGGAAGCCGGAACCGGGCUGGCUCGCGCGGGGCCGUUGGAGCCUCUCCCGGGCCGGAGAAGGGUGUGUGACUGAGAUCAGGGCUCUUAUCGUACUGAGUGUGGGCCUGUUCUGACAGCGGCUGCAGAGACCCCAACUGAGAUCUGGGCCCUGUUCUGCCAGGUGCUGAAGAGACCCCAGGUGUGUGACUGAGAUCAGGGCUCUUAUCGUACUGAGCAUGGCCCUGUUCUGCCAGGUGCUGCA
Long non-coding RNA from Mauremys reevesii (Reeves's turtle), 317 nucleotides. RefSeq lists it as uncharacterized. The transcript has 3 exons. Lineage: Eukaryota; Metazoa; Chordata; Testudines; Geoemydidae. The record is from RefSeq and is a predicted model, not a curated record.